This 468-nucleotide ribosomal RNA is filed under the name uncultured bacterium. RNAcentral describes it as "partial 16S ribosomal RNA". It matches the Rfam family "Bacterial small subunit ribosomal RNA", at positions 28 to 507 of the family's 1533-position model. The record is from RNAcentral.
GACGAACGCUGGCGGCGUGCUUAACACAUGCAAGUCGAACGGAAAGGCCCUGCUUUUGUGGGGUGCUCGAGUGGCGAACGGGUGAGUAACACGUGAGUAACCUGCCCUUGACUUUGGGAUAACUUCAGGAAACUGGGGCUAAUACCGGAUAGGGGCUCCUGCUGCAUGGUGGGGGUUGGAAAGUUUCGGCGGUUGGGGAUGGACUCGCGGCUUAUCAGCUUGUUGGUGGGGUAGUGGCUUACCAAGGCUUUGACGGGUAGCCGGCCUGAGAGGGUGACCGGCCACAUUGGGACUGAGAUACGGCCCAGACUCCUACGGGAGGCAGCAGUGGGGAAUAUUGCACAAUGGGCAGAAGCCUGAUGCAGCAACGCCGCGUGCGGGAUGACGGCCUUCGGGUUGUAAACCGCUUUCGCCUGUGACGAAGCGUGAGUGACGGUAAUGGGUAAAGAAGCACCGGCUAACUACGUG